This is a long non-coding RNA of Oxyura jamaicensis (ruddy duck), 733 nucleotides long. RefSeq lists it as uncharacterized. The transcript is spliced from 3 exons. Lineage: Eukaryota; Metazoa; Chordata; Aves; Anseriformes; Anatidae. The record is from RefSeq and is a predicted model, not a curated record.
GCUGAAGCCUGAAGAAGCAAAUAUCAAGGUUAUACAGUUGUUUUGGAUUUCCAUUUUGAGUCCACAAGAAGGCUAAGUUUCUUUGGAUUUCUUUACAUGUGCUGUAGAUAUGAACAUAUACCCGUGGCGAGAAAAUAAAGACCAGCUGAAACACGAGGAAUGAAACAUCCUCAGUGCUGACAGUAAGAAUGGAAAGGACAUCUGUGCAUCGUGGCAACAAAGUCAUUACGAACAAUGGAGACCUGCAGAAGAUCUUCUAAGAAGGAUUAUUUGUGGUGACAGCAAUCUCCUGACAUUGACCCGAGCUUCUUCCCCUUGCAGAACACACGGCUGUUUACACCAGGAAACUAAUAAACAUAUUGUAAACAACAACCAUCAGAAUUAUUCUGUGGGACUUGAGGGGCAGUUUGUAACUCCAUAGUCACUGGAUUCAUUCCUUCUCCAUCCUGUGCAAAUCUGAGAUGCAAGAGGCUCUUAAACAUUAAGUCAGAGCUGUGUCUUUACAUUCAGAGUUUUAGUGCUUUCUAUUUUAUUGUUUUCUAUAAACUUGGUGUAGGACCCUUUCUAAGCACGUUUCUGGCCUUUAGUAAAGGACAGAUAUGCAGGAAGAGGUUGUGUGGUGCCAAAAUGACUGAUGGAUGACUGACGUGCAUGGGAGCUUCCAGUGCUCAUGGAAUGGGACCCACAAUGUGCGUAACCUAAUGAAUGAUAUUGCAUGCUUUCUGUGAUAGUA